RNAcentral lists this ribosomal RNA (253 nucleotides) under uncultured bacterium. RNAcentral's name for it is "partial 16S ribosomal RNA". It matches the Rfam family "Bacterial small subunit ribosomal RNA", at positions 524 to 776 of the family's 1533-position model. The record is from RNAcentral.
UACGAAGGGUGCAACCGUUGCUCGGAAUUAUUGGGCGUAAAGCGCACGUAGGCGGCUUGGCAAGUCGGAUGUGAAAGCCCUCGGCUCAACCAAGGAAGUGCAUCCGAAACUGCUGAGCUUGAGUACUUAAGAGGAUCGCGGAAUUCCCGGUGUAGAGGUGAAAUUCGUAGAUAUUGGGAGGAACACCAGUGGCGAAGGCGGCUCACUGGACCGGUACUGACGCUGAUGCGCGAAAGCGUGGGGAGCAAACGGG